AAGCCCGUUUGGCGAGGAUACGAAUAGCCAAGACAGGAACCUCCAAUGCCUUCCUCCAUAGCAAACGCAAUGGCCUGUUCAACGAAGCUCUGGAGUUCACGCAACUUCCAUACAAGAUGAACCUUUCAGAACAGAGUUCCACUGAGGAGGAGCAGCUGUUAACCAAGUCCACCUCUCUACUAGAGAGCCAGCACCACCACCUGCUGCACUGUCUGGAGAAA
Long non-coding RNA from Notothenia coriiceps (black rockcod), 221 nucleotides. RefSeq lists it as uncharacterized. The record is from RefSeq and is a predicted model, not a curated record. The transcript has 3 exons. NCBI's taxonomy places the organism in Eukaryota, Metazoa, Chordata, Actinopteri, Perciformes, Nototheniidae.